Molecule: long non-coding RNA, 101 nt
Organism: Limulus polyphemus (Atlantic horseshoe crab)
Lineage: Eukaryota; Metazoa; Arthropoda; Merostomata; Xiphosura; Limulidae
Exons: 3
Source: RefSeq, a predicted model, not a curated record
AUUCACAGUAUAAAUGCAACCACUACACGUUACAAAACAGUCGCACUAAUUUUAACAAUUAAGUUUUAGGUUGAUAACAUUACGGCACUUGUGAAUAGACA